Small nucleolar RNA from Grammomys surdaster, 129 nucleotides. RefSeq annotates it as small nucleolar RNA SNORA17. The record is from RefSeq and is a predicted model, not a curated record. Lineage: Eukaryota; Metazoa; Chordata; Mammalia; Rodentia; Muridae. The transcript has a single exon.
CCUGCCCCUGGGGGCGUUACAGGUACGGCUGCCGUCACGUGUGAGUCAGUAGUAGCAGAGGGGGGAGAGGUUACCUCUAUGCUAAGUGCUCUUACCUGUGAAUAUCUGAAUGGUUAGUAGCCUGAAAAA